AGCUUUGCUCAGUGGCAGUAUCGUAGCCAAUGAGGUUUAUCCAAGGCAUGAUUAUUGCUAAUUAAAAAUUUUUCCAAGAUUUCCACAUAAAGUUAAAGAUCAGCCACCGAAAUAAGAACCUUAAAUUUUAGUUCUAAAGUAAUAUAAUCCAUCUUUACAAAAAA
This 164-nucleotide small nuclear RNA is filed under the name Chinchilla lanigera (long-tailed chinchilla). Its description in RNAcentral is "U4 spliceosomal RNA (ENSCLAG00000020602.1)". It matches the Rfam family "U4 spliceosomal RNA". Rfam says of the family: U4 small nuclear RNA (U4 snRNA) is a component of the major U2-dependent spliceosome. The structure of U4 snRNA from yeast and human has been reported. U4 snRNA presents a k-turn RNA motif in the 5p-SL related to recognition of Snu13 protein. The record is from Rfam by way of RNAcentral. Lineage: Eukaryota; Metazoa; Chordata; Mammalia; Rodentia; Chinchillidae.